UACGAGAGGCCCAAACGUUAUUCGGAUUUACUGGGCUUAAAGAGUUCGUAGGCGGUUCGACAAGUGAGGUGUGAAAGCCCUCGGCUUAACCGAGGAAUUGCGCUUCAAACUGUCGGGCUCGAGGGAGAUAGAGGUGAGCGGAACUGAUGGUGGAGCGGUGAAAUGCGUUGAUAUCAUCAGGAACACCAGAGGCGAAGGCGGCUCACUGGGUCUCUUCUGACGCCGAGGAACGAAAGCUAGGGGAGCAAACGGG
This 253-nucleotide ribosomal RNA is filed under the name uncultured bacterium. RNAcentral's name for it is "partial 16S ribosomal RNA". It matches the Rfam family "Bacterial small subunit ribosomal RNA", at positions 524 to 776 of the family's 1533-position model. The record is from RNAcentral.